Molecule: long non-coding RNA, 490 nt
Filed under: Neogale vison (American mink)
Lineage: Eukaryota; Metazoa; Chordata; Mammalia; Carnivora; Mustelidae
Description: Neovison vison (American mink) lncRNA (ENSNVIG00000014087.1)
Source: RNAcentral
CAAAGGCCUUUUUUUUUUUUUUUAAUCAGAAGUUAACACCAAAAGAAGGGUAUGGUAAAAACUUAAUUGAUACUUGGUCCCUCAGAAUAUCGAAGAAGUGAGAAGUCAGUGGAAAUAACUCCAGAAUGGAUGGAGCUUUGCAGGCAGACUCUUCUGGGAUCAGCACUGAAGAGAUGCCAUAUCCCAUCCCAAACCAGCACAGCUGAAUCCCAAGCACUAAGUGAUGGUGACUCCUGGCUGUAAACAAGGUUCCAUUUCAAAGCAGAGUUUUGCAGAAGUUCAUCAUCAAGUGAGGGAGGAGCCUCUUUGAAAAAUCAUAGGUUAUAUUGCUUCAAGCCAAGCAGAGAAUCUCUCUGAGAAAGAGACCUAAGGCACUUGGGAGAACUUGCCCUGAAGUUCACUUCUAUCCCUGCUCUGGGAGUGGAAAAUUCUCCCUUCACCUUGUGCACAGUUUCAACGUGUAAUGAACUAAUAAGAGAAGCAGCUGCUC